AUUGAACGCUGGCGGCAGGCCUAACACAUGCAAGUCGAACGAGUGGCGGACGGGUGAGUAAUGUCUGGGAAACUGCCUGAUGGAGGGGGACAACUACUGGAAACGGUAGCUAAUACCGCAUACCAUCAGAUGUGCCCAGAUGGGAGUAGCUAGUUGGUGGGGUAACGGCUCACCAAGGCGACGAUCCCUAGCCGGUCUGCGAGGAUGACCAGCCACACUGGAACUGAGACUCGGUCCAGACUCCUGCGGGAGGCAGCCGUGGGGAAUAUUGCUCAAUGGGCGGAAGCGUGAUGCAGCCAUGCCGCGUGUAUGAAGAAGGCCUUCGGGUUGUAGAGUACUUUCAGCGGGGAGGCGUUACCCGCAGAAGAAGCACCGGCUAACGCCGUGCCAGCAGCCGCGGUAAUUC
This 406-nucleotide ribosomal RNA is filed under the name uncultured bacterium. RNAcentral's name for it is "partial 16S ribosomal RNA". It matches the Rfam family "Bacterial small subunit ribosomal RNA", at positions 30 to 526 of the family's 1533-position model. The record is from RNAcentral.